Cyprinus carpio (common carp) is the source of this 1080-nucleotide long non-coding RNA. RefSeq lists it as uncharacterized. The transcript has 4 exons. Lineage: Eukaryota; Metazoa; Chordata; Actinopteri; Cypriniformes; Cyprinidae. The record is from RefSeq and is a predicted model, not a curated record.
AUAAAUGCAAGCUUGGUGAUCAUACGAGAUUAAAAAAUUGUAUUGUUCCAAACUUUUGACCUGUUAUGUGCAUACAUUGUUUACGUUGUUCUAAUAUAGAGCUUCUGUGUUACGCAUGGCACUAUUUAUUACCUUCUCUCCCGGCUGAGGUCUCAUCACAGAUACGCGGUCAUAUCCUCUCCUAAGCCACACCCACAGGGCAUCCAGUUUCCCCUGAAAGAUCCGAACACAACAGUGGUUGGAAGAAAUCAACACUUCAAAGCAUGCUGGUUCAAAGAAAAUAAAUAAGCUGGUAGAACAGUAACGGUUGGAAUUUAGUGGCCCAGACAUCUAAUUGACUGACUCAAAUUCUUCGGUGUGUAUUUUCAAUUCAUUGAAUAUUAAAGUUCCUCUUUAUUUGGGUGUAAAAUCGCUUUAAUGAGUACAUUUUUUUGCAGAAUCUAGGCCAAACUCACAAAUCACAAACUUCUCUUCAUUUCUCUCAACCUAUAUGUGUUUAAUUUCUCCCUCUCAGAGUGAACUGUCACACAACAUAAUCCAGAGGAAAGAAGGUGGAAGAGAGAGAGAGAAAAGGAGUUUGUUUUGUCGGGAAAUGUACCAGCUCUGCAAAGCUCAUCUCCCUUGGGUCAGCUCAGUUCAGUGUCUGGUUUAAAUUAACCCUCCCCUUCCAUCUGACAGAGACAUUAUGAAACAAUGCAAGAAUCACUUCCCGGACUGGCUGAGGCCACCACAGCACACACCGCUUCUUCUGCGCUCCUUCCAGUCUUCAGAUGAAUGACCAAGUCGAUCGUUGUCCACCAGAUGACCAUACCAAUCAAAAAAAUUAUACAAUUUUGUAACGACAUGAAGCUUUAUGUGCUUCAGUUGAAGAGAAGGUUUCCUGCAAGACUUACGUUCCCUCCUCCUUCAGUACCGGUGCUGGGCAGAGCAGGUACGUGUCUUCGACAACAAGAGGCCUCUUCACUGGAGAAAUAACAACACACAGGAAAAAAAGCAGUUUGAUAAAUGUCCUCAGGGUUGAUAUCAAUAAUUAGGUUUAAUUUUAAGAAUUGUUUGUAAAUAAUUUAACAACAUUUUACC